This 253-nucleotide ribosomal RNA is filed under the name uncultured bacterium. RNAcentral describes it as "partial 16S ribosomal RNA". It matches the Rfam family "Bacterial small subunit ribosomal RNA", at positions 524 to 776 of the family's 1533-position model. The record is from RNAcentral.
UACGGAGGGUGCGAGCGUUGUCCGGAAUCACUGGGCGUAAAGGGCGCGUAGGCGGCUUGAUAAGUAGGGGGUGAAAUCCUGCGGCUUAACCGCAGGGCUGCCUUCUAAACUGUCAGGCUUGAGCACAGUAGAGGCAGGUGGAAUUCCCGGUGUAGCGGUGGAAUGCGUAGAGAUCGGGAAGAACAUCGGUGGCGAAGGCGGCCUGCUGGGCUGUUGCUGACGCUGAGGCGCGACAGCGUGGGGAGCAAACAGG